GUGUCAGCCGCCGCGGUAAUACGUAGGGUGCGAGCGUUAAUCGGAAUUACUGGGCGUAAAGCGUGCGCAGGCGGUUAUUUAAGUCAGGUGUGAAAGCCCUGGGCUUAACCUAGGAAUUGCGCUUGAGACUGGAUAGCUUGGAGUGUGGCAGAGGGAGGUGGAAUUCCACGUGUAGCAGUGAAAUGCGUAGAGAUGUGGAGGAACACCGAUGGCGAAGGCAGCCUCCUGGGCCAGCACUGACGCUCAUGCACGAAAGCGUGGGGAGCAAACAGGAUUAGAAACCCUGGUAGUCC
RNAcentral lists this ribosomal RNA (293 nucleotides) under uncultured bacterium. RNAcentral describes it as "partial 16S ribosomal RNA". It matches the Rfam family "Bacterial small subunit ribosomal RNA", at positions 505 to 796 of the family's 1533-position model. The record is from RNAcentral.